CCCUCCAUUUUGAAAUAAAAUUCGCAGCUUGAUCAGAACCCUUUGUCUUGCUGCCGUUCUUUCGCGCCUCCUGUCCCAUCCCUCUUCAUCCGUUACAGGGAGACGGCCGGCUCACCGCGACUGCCCGCCCGCGCGCCAGCAUUCCCCGACGAGCCCCCCGUUCCCCGACAGCGGCAUCUCAGAGGUGAGGCCCAACCAUGGGACAGGCAUGCUCACAGCGUGAUUUAUUCGUUGGUCAGUUGAAAGAAUCUCUCAAGGUGCGUAAGAUAAGGGUUCCUAAAAAAGACUUAAAUUCCUUUUUCACUUUCGUUUUUAAAAUCUGCCCCUGGUUUCCUCAGGAGGGUAGCAUUGACUCCCGCGUCUGGCACCGUGUGGGCGACUGUCUAAAUGACUAUUAUAAAGUCCUUGGUACCGAGACUGUCCCUGUAACUGCCUUUAACUAUUACAACCUCAUAACAGACAUCCUUAAAA
Molecule: long non-coding RNA, 471 nt
Organism: Phyllostomus discolor (pale spear-nosed bat)
Lineage: Eukaryota; Metazoa; Chordata; Mammalia; Chiroptera; Phyllostomidae
Exons: 2
Source: RefSeq, a predicted model, not a curated record